AAAGGACUAGGGUAGCAAUUAUACCCUAAUCACAAAAACAUGCGGAUCUUGAGGUACUCGGGUUGGGUUUCAAAGGCCUGCCCCAAACAACGUUGCUUAGGGGGUUUAUAAAUAUAAAAAAAACAUUUAGACCUUGUUUAAAAAAAAACAAAAAAAGCCUUCUUUUUCUCUGUUCUCUCUCUGAGGUAGACCCAGAAUCUGGCUGUUGGAGUUGCCGGGCUUCGCCGUGACGACC
Molecule: long non-coding RNA, 235 nt
Filed under: Gossypium barbadense (sea-island cotton)
Lineage: Eukaryota; Viridiplantae; Streptophyta; Magnoliopsida; Malvales; Malvaceae
Description: long non-coding RNA (GBAR_LNC021120)
Source: RNAcentral